GACGAACGCUGGCGGCGUGCUUAACACAUGCAAGUCGAACGGAAAGGCCUGCUUUCCCUUGUGGAUUGCGGGUACUCGAGUGGCGAACGGGUGAGUAACACGUGAGUGAUCUGCCCCCAACUUGGGUAUAAGCCUGGGAAACUGGGCCUAAUUCCCGAUAGGACUGCAGGGUGGUGCCUGUGGUGGAAAACGAUUUUCUAGUGGUUGGGGAUGAGCUCGCGGCCUAUCAGCUUGUUGGUGGGGUAAUGGCCUACCAAGGCGGCGACGGGUAGCCGGCCUGAGAGGGUGGACGGACACAUUGGGACUGAGAUACGGCCCAGACUCCUACGGGAGGCAGCAGUGGGGAAUAUUGCACAAGGGGCGGAAGCCUGAUGCAGCGACGCCGCGGGGGGGAUGACGGCCUUCGGGUUGUAAACUCCUUUCGACCGCGAGGAAGCCACCUGGUUGGAAGGGUGGUGACGGUAGUGGUAGAAGAAGCACCGGCUAACUACGUG
Molecule: ribosomal RNA, 494 nt
Filed under: uncultured bacterium
Lineage: Bacteria
Description: partial 16S ribosomal RNA
Rfam family: Bacterial small subunit ribosomal RNA
Source: RNAcentral